This 432-nucleotide ribosomal RNA is filed under the name Pholidoscelis corax (Censky's ameiva). RNAcentral describes it as "partial 12S ribosomal RNA". It matches the Rfam family "Bacterial small subunit ribosomal RNA", at positions 775 to 1404 of the family's 1533-position model. Lineage: Eukaryota; Metazoa; Chordata; Lepidosauria; Squamata; Teiidae. The record is from RNAcentral.
UGAUUAGAUACCCCUCUAUGCUUAGAAGUUAACCACGACAAGCCCCUAACAACUUGUCCGCCAGAGAAUUACGGGCGAAAGCCUAAAACUCAAAAGACUUGACGGUGUCCCAAUUCUACCUAGAGGAGCCUGUUUCAUAAUCGAUAAUCCCCGCUCAACCCGACCUCUUCUUGAAAUCCUUUCAGCCUAUAUACCGCCGUCCUUCCCCGCUUACCUUUUGAAAGAUAAACAGUAAGCCCAAUAGUCUCACAACUAAAAAAUCAGGUCAAGGUGUAGCUAAUGAAGAGGAGAAAAUGGGCUACAUUUUCUACCAUAGAACACCACGGAAAGUAUUCUGAAAUAAAAUACACAAAGGCGGAUUUAGUAGUAAGCCAAAUUAGAGCGUUUGACUAAACCAAGCGCUGGGACACGCACACACCGCCCGUCACCCUA